UUCUUGGUGAUAGAUAAAACUCCAUUGUCCUUUUUUUUUUUUUUCCCUAGUGAGACUCCCAGGUUUACUUAUUAAAUUUUCCCAUUCAUUGCCUCUAUCAGAGAUAAGUGAUUGUUUCUGUUGUCAGGCUUUACCUACUACAUGUUUUUUGAUGUGGUCAGAAUGUUUUUUGCAUGGCAUAUUUUGCCCAAAAAAUUCAUAUGAAAUUUGCCUUCAAUUCUUUUAUUUAUCCAUAUUUCUUUCUUUCUUUCUUUUUUUUUUAAAGAGAGAGAGAGAAAGAUAAAUUUUUUAAUAUUUAUUUAGUUAUCGGCAGACACAACAUCUUUGUUUUUGUAUGUGGUGCUGAGGUUCGAACCCGAGUCGAAUGCAUGCCAGGCGAGCGUGCUACCGCUAGAGCCACAUCCCCAGCCCCUACCCAUAUUUCUUAAUUAUUUUUAAAAAUAUAUGUAUUUUGUCAAUGAACCUUUAAUUAAUUAAUUAAUAUGUAGUGCUGAGAAUUGAACUCAUACCUCACACAUACUAGGUGAGCACUCUACCAUUGAGUCACAACCCUAGACCUGCAUGUUUAUUUUAAUGCAAAAAUAGUCUAAAUUGAUUAUAGUGCUUCAGGAAGAUGUGUAGGACAUAACUUGUGGCCUAGCCUUGGUCUAAACUGGAGCAUGUAAUUCCAAAGCUUGAGAACAGUGUUAUACACACAUAUACAAAUCUUGUAAACAGCAGAGUACCUUCAUGGCAAUUGUAUCCAUAGUGCUGGCAUUAGAGUUGCCAGAAACUUGCAGUGACAUCUGGGGACACUUUGUAGCAGGGGCAAGAGCUAUAUAAAUGAAUUGUUUAUGUUUCGUGUUUUUGUAAAUGGAAAAUAUAGGAUUGUUAGGGGAAUUCUAAUAUUGAUUGGAUAUUAGAAGAUACUAUGGAACUGAUGUUCAAAUUACUCUUUUCUUAAGAAGAUAAACCCAUACUGAUAAAACCGAUAAACCCAGAUUUUUAAGUGUGUCUGAUUUUUUUAGGGAUUCACUCUCAUUAUAAUAACUUAUUUUCUUACAUAAAACCGCUUCUGAGCAAAGAAUUUCUGUUGGAAGGAUCCCCCCAAAGGCUAGCAUAUUUAAGUUAUUAGAAGUUUAAUUUCUUUUUUUUCCCUGAGAAUUUUAGGAUUAUUAAAUUUAAAGGGUUGGGGUUCUAUAAACUAGUCAGAGAAGAUGUGUUUUGAAAUGUUAACCUAAUUUUUAAAUACUGUAAAAAGGAAAAUGUCAAAUUUGUACAGUGAAAUAAAAUGAAGACAUUUCUCGGUUGUAGAUACAGAGUUUAUAACUUAAGUUUUACAGCUUUAGUUAUAGGUCAAAUGUUAACACAGACUGUUAACACCAGUCCCUGGCAGUUCCUUAUUCUAGUAGGCAUAGAAUAUUUAAAAAAUCAAUUUGAGGGCUGGGGUUGUGGCUCAGCGAUAGGGUACUCACCUAGAACGUGGUAGGCCCUGGGUUCGAUCCUCAGCACCACAUAAAAAUAAACAAAAGUAUUGUGUCCAACUACAACUAAAAAUAAAAUAUUAAAAAAAAUCAAUUUGAACUCACAAAUAGGCAAACAGAACAAAGAAAGGUGAGCAACAAAACAUAUUUUCUGUAUCUUCUUACUUUGUGGAGUACUGAAUGAUCCUGACAGAUUAUUAGAUGGUUAAACCAUUAAACCAAGUUUCUAGUCAUUGCUACUAACAAAGGGGAGUAACCUAUUCAUUGUGUCCAAGCCAGAAACAAAAACAAAGCCACAGCUAGGAAAAUCAAAACAAUAAGUAAAGUGGUAGUAAAGGUAAAAUUGCUGUUUUGAAUUACUUCUUGAACCCAGAAUGGUUGUAUCUGGGCUUAAUACAGCUCAUGAAUUGUACCCCUUAGAUAAUGCAGUUUAUUUGGCAUUAUUUGAAGGUUCUCUUUUCUUGGUAGAAUUUUCAAGCUACCAAUGUAUAAUUUUCAAAAAGAUAUAAAAACAUAUAGAUAUAAAGAUAUAUAAACAAGAUUCCUUAAAAUUAUUUAUAUGUUGGAUUUAUUUAACUCAUUAAUGAGGGAUUUAGCAAGAUGACAAAUUUGAUUUCAUAUAGAUAAUACUUUUUUAUUAGUGAAAAUAAUAAACUACAGAUAUUAAGGAGAUUGUCCUUUUUUAGGUGAUCUAGGCUGAGGUGUUUUGGGAUGAGUGGUCAUGACAUCUGAACAUUAGUUUCAUAUGACUCUGCAGAAAAAGAAAAAAGUUCAUGAAUAUGCACAUACAUAUGGGAAAGUAAGAGAUAAGACAAAUAUGGCAAAAUGGUAACAAUAUCUGAAUCUAGAUAAAGGGCAUAUUGUUAUUUGUUAUUCUGUUCUUUAAAUUUUUUAUGGGCUUGACAUUGUUUAAAAUCAAAAUUGAGAAAAACUAGGUAUAUAUAAAGGCAUCCACUUCAACUGUAGCCCUUUUCCUUUGUCCUGUUCCCUUUUUUACCACUACCCCGUGGGUAAUUUUCAUUAGUUUCUUAUUUAAUCUUUUCAGUAUUUUUUGUUUGAAAUAGAAGCAAAUAUUUCUGGCAUCUCUUCUGUAUGAAUUAGUAUCCCAUAUGAAGGUCCCACUCUAAUGACCUCAUUUAGUUAUAGCUCAAAGGCCCCAUUUACAAAUAGUGUACGUUAAAGAUGGGGCCUUCGAUAUAGGAAUUUUGGGUAAUGUAGUUCAGUCUAUAGCAGCAGGUAUAUGUUAAAUUCCUAGGAAUAGGAUUGCUGAUAUCAAAGUACAAAUACAUCUGUAAUAUGUAUAUUGUGUUCAAAUCAUUGAUUCACUGACGUUUAUCCUCAUGUAUGAUACAUGAAUUCAGUUUUUCUCUUUUUUAUUAAUGGCUACCUAAUUGUCCUCAAACCAUUUGUUAUAAUGACUUCCUUCACCUCAUUGAUUUUGAGAUUCUCACUUUAUCACAUAUUAAACCUACCACAUAUAUUUAAAUUUAUUUCUGAAUUUUUCAUUCUGUUUCAUUGGCUCAGAUUCAUACCAUUUUAGUUAUUUAUGUGUUAGGUAUUUUCAUCUUUCAUUUUUUAAAAUUUCCUGUUUUUGUUGCCUGAGUUUUUUGGAAUUAUUUUACCUUUUUAUGUAAAUUAUUUAUUGUGGGAAAUUUCAAACAUAUAAAUAUAAACCAUUAAAUAUCCAUUACGUAGCUUCAAUAACUGUCGGUAUUUGCUGUUUUGUGUUUCAUCUAUUUCAUCUCCCCACUCUUAUCUUUUUGUGAUAUUUUAUAGCUAUGUCACAUACAUUUUACCUGUGAGCACCUUAAUAUGUAUCUGUAAUAGCUGAAGAUCAAAAAAAUUGAAACCACAGUACAAUGCCAUUUUCUAGCAAAAUUAAUGAUGUCAUGGAAGAAGAGUGUUUCUGAAGUGGGGUCCCUGAGUUCUUUGAGAGAAGGGGGAACUUGACUCAGGACCAUCAGGAUUCUUGGCAUUUAAUUCAGCAUUAAAGAAUUUCAGCAUGUGCCCAUCAAAGGCAUAGACAGAAUUUUAUUUAGGAAGUGAAUACAUAUUCAAGGAAGAAUGGAGGCAGUUUUAAGAGAGAAAUACUGGGCUGUGGUUGUGGCUCAGGUAGAGCACUUGCCUAGCAUACGGGAGGCACUGGGUUCGAUCCUCAGCACCACAUAAAAAUAAAAUGAAGAUACUGUAUCCACCUAACUAAAGUAAAUAAAUAAAUAUUAAAAAAAAGAGAGAAGUACAUUAGGGAUAAAGCAAGGAAUAUGUAUUCAAGGGGAAUGUAGGCCAUCUUGAGAGUGAGAGACAUGGUUCGGGGGUUCCUGGCUCUUCUUUUAAAAGAAACUUGGUGAGGGGUAGAUAGGAAGGUAUGUAGGAAUGGUAUCAGUCCAGUGAUCUCAAGAUAGUAUGUUUAAUCUAUCCUUAUCCUUAUAUGGUCUUCUUCAUCUGAUCAGUAGAUGGUGCUGGGAAAUCCCUUAGAUAAUAAGUUCCUGAAGAUAUCAUCUUUCUCUUUGCUUAAUUUAUUUAUUUGGGAGUUAAUUAACAUUGUGCAGGUAGAUUUACAGAUUUUCCAGGAAUUUUAGGAGUACUAGGCCUGCAAAGGAGACUGGCUUAGGGAGUGACAUGCUUGGAAAGGUAUGUGAAACUUUUGAAUUAAAAUCUUAUUUACUUUUCCUUCUUUUAUGUCUUCUUUUUACCUAUUUUUAUUCUCUCCUACUUCAAUGUUAAUAUAUUAAUUAUAUUCACAAUUCGAUAUUAUUCCAAUCUAGUUUAGUGUUCCUUGAUUGUUUUUCUUAUGGGGUCUUGGCUUAUUCAAAUCAGGAUUCAUACAGAGGCCUCAGAUUGCAUUUAAUUGAUACAUCUCUUAGAACUAAUUUGUAGUAGCCUUCUCUCAACUGCAUGUUGAUUUUUUUUUUUUUUUGUACUAGUGAUUGGACUUGGGGCAUUUACCACCUAGCCACAUCCCCAGCCCUAUUUUAUCUGUCAAUCUAUCUGUGGUACUGGAGAUUGAACCCAGGGAUGCUUAACCACUAAGCCACAUCCUUAGCCCCUUUUUAUAUUUUAUUUAGAGACAGGGACUCACUGAGUUGCUUGGGGCCUAAGUUGCUGAGGCUGACUUUGAACUCGCAAUCCUCCUGCCUUUACCUCCUGAGGUGCUAGGGUGCCUGGCUUUAUUUUUUAUUUUGAGACAGGAUCUCACUAAGUUGCUUAGUACCUGGCUAAGUUGCUGGGGCUGGCUUCAUAUAUUGGAUCCUUCUGCCUCAGUCUCCGAAGCUGCUGGGAUUACAGGCAUGUGCUUAUGUAUUUCUUAUUAUAUGAUUUUUGUGAUGUCUCUUCUGCCUUUUGCUCCUUAUGUAAAUGUUUUCAGUCUUUCUUUCUUAAAGGAAUUUGUAUUUUUGUUCACUUCCUUCCCUGAUUUCUGUCAGUUCCCAUUUCACAUUUUCUUACUAUCCAUCACCCACUGUUGUCAGGGCCAUAUGGUCCUCUGUUCAUACUUUGUGUUCUUUUAGUACUGUGAUUGCAUCCUUAAGUCCUUAAGCCUAUUUUAGUUUUUUAGCAUACUGUUUUCAUCUAUUUUGUGGCAAUGUUUGGUGAGUUUUCAUUAUGUAUUUGAAAAUUAUGCUUUUCAUGUUCAUCCUUUUCCGUGGUUGGUUUUUGUGUUCAGGUAGAUGAGUUAGUUACCUUUGUGUUUGAAGGAUAUUGAUUUAGAGGAGGUUCCUGGGUUGGGAAUGGACCUGGGUAUUUUUCCAGGCGUCAUUGUGGAAAGGCUCUCUCUGUAGCCCUGCUUCUCUGGUCCUAAAAACCUGGCCUUUUAUGUACCUGUGCUUCCUACUGCUUCUACUUUUUAUUUAUUUACUUCUACUAUUUAUAUGUGCUUCCUGUGCAUCUUCUUUUAAGUUUGUAUUUUGCUGGCAUUUUCUCAGUGCUCACUGCCUUUUCUUCUCCCUUCUUUGCUUUUCAGUCUUUCCUAUUUUCUACUUUCCCUAGCAAUCCUGUUCUUUUGAUUAAUCUGCCUCUUGCUCCUAGUAACUCUCUUGGCUUGAUGUCCCUCAGCAUCCCAUUUUUUCCGUGACCUCCUGGUUGCUUUUCAUAAGCUGGCAGUUGUUUUUUUAUUUUCUCAUUGUUUUCAGAUUUGGUUAAAGUAAUUUGUUCUUAGGUAGUGCAAAUUUAUAAUAUGAUUUAAGUUUGUGCAGUUUCCUAUUUUUCAGUUACACUGAUGAUAAAGAUUUUAUUUUGUUUAUCUUUAUUUCUUUACAGUUUCAUAUUGAUCUUACAUAUGUCCAAAAUUUGUUAUUGUAUAUUUUGUAUUUUUGUUGCUAGUGGCAGUGGAUCUGUUUCUUCUGCUACUUAUUCAAUUGAUGAUUAUUUACGUGUAUUUGUUAUAUUGAUUUUUAAAAUAUUUUUGUUUUCUUUUUUAGUUGUAGAUGGAAACAAUGCCUUUCUUUCUUUCUUUCUUUCUUUCGUUCGUUCGUUUCUUGUGCUGGGGAUCAAACCUAGUGCUUCACACAUGAUAGGCAAGUGCUCUACCACUGAACCACAACCCCUGCCCUGUUAUAUUAAUUUUGUAUCUAAGCUAACUUCCUCAUUAUUUAGAAUUCAGUUGAUUUUUCAAAGUUUUUUUGUAUAUAAAUAUGUCACUUGUAAAUAAUAUAUAUUUUUUCGUGUUCUAAAUUAUAUACCACUGAUCACACUGUUGUUUUGACAUGUUUGUGGUUGUAAUGAUACUGAUAAUUUUCAUUUGCUCUAGGGAUGUUAUAUUUUUCUACUAAGCAUAAUAUCAACUUUGGGGUUAAGAUUUUUAUUAUAUUAAGGAACUACAUAUUUCUAUUUUACUGAGAUUAAAAAAAUAAUAAAGAUAUAGUGCUAGUCAGCUUUCUGUUAAAAAUAUGUGAGAGAAUCAGCUUUAUAAACAGAAAAGUUUUACUUUGGCUUACAGUUUUGGAGGUUUCAGCACAUGAUUUGUGGACCCUGUUGCAGCAUAUGAGGCAGCAUAUGGUGGCAGCACACGGCAAAACCUUUGAUUGGGAUAUUGUUUCUUUUGCUGAGAAGAAACCAACCUAGAUGCCCUUCAAUAGAUGAAUGGAUAAAAAAAGUGGCAUAUAUACACAAUGGAAUAUUACUCAGCAGUAAAAGAGAAUAAAAUCAUAUGAUUUGCAGGUAAAUGGAUGGA
This is a long non-coding RNA of Marmota monax (woodchuck), 6630 nucleotides long. RefSeq lists it as uncharacterized. Lineage: Eukaryota; Metazoa; Chordata; Mammalia; Rodentia; Sciuridae. The record is from RefSeq and is a predicted model, not a curated record. The transcript has 2 exons.